UGCAACCAAAAUAUCUCAUUGAAUCAUCUUCCUCAGCUCCGACCGGCUCUGCUAUUUAUGACUGUGGAGUCACUUCUGCCUCCCCGGCUGCUUCACACGGAGCGCGGAGCCAGCCCCGGCAGACGUGAGCGGUGCCAGCAGCAGCAGGAGCUCUCUGGUGGGUGAAACCUUCUGCUCGCACAGCAAGUCCCAGCCCUGAGCUGCUGGAGACACGGGGUGUUGCAAACUCCCUGGCUCCUGGAGGCAGGUGCUGCUUUAGUGAUCAGCUCUGAACGCCGUGGCAAGCAGUGGGAGCUGAGGCUGGAAUGUAAGUCCAAGUUAAUGAAGCAGCCUCAAAGUUGAGGAGGAAGAGAAUAAACUGCAGCUCUGAGGCACAGAUCAUUGGAGAUUCCUUUUUCAAACCCUGUGUUCGCCACUCACUGGAGUUAUUUGAUUUGGGAACAAGAUAAGAAUUCACAUUAUCUGAUUUGUAGAAAUAACCUGGAGGAAGGAAAAACAGUCAGAAAUACUAAUUUCAGAUAUAAUUUUCAUGCCUCAGUUUUCUAAAAGUCUUUCUCAUAUCUAAUAGCAUUAAGCAAAUACAAAGUACAGAUUUUGGGGAAGUUGUGCACCGACUGACAAAUGCGUCUACAAAUAGCCCACAGUUCAGCACUUCUUUUUCUGUCAAUACUCCGUGACCAGGAAAGGUUUGGAGCAUAAUUCUCUCCCAGUAAUCUAUCUUCUCCCUUUCUCCCUCUCCCUUUUUUUUUUUUUCCUAGUAAAAAAUAGACCUGGAAAUUCAUUGCUGAUUUCCCAGGAGUGUUAUUCAUGCCAGUUUAUUUAUGUAUUUAUUAUUCAAGUGCAAACUAUUGCAGUUCCUUGUGGUAAACUGCAAAUCAAACUGAUAGAGGCAGAGGGCUGGCUGUCACACCAAGUGCCGUAGAGAUGAGUGCUGAUGCUGUGGCUCCUACUGCCCCUAAGUGAUGAGGUGUGAGGACAAUUCAGCCUCCUUGGUGCUCAGGUCUGCCCAGACCUUGGCUAGAGCUGGAAAAUGGAUUUUCCAGGAUUUUCACCAGGAUUUAAUUGUCUUCAGCAGGACAUUUAAUACAACUAUGUUUUAACAUGUAAGCAUAAUAGUUUAUUGUGUUUAAGUGAUGGAACUGCAGCUAGGAGAAAUCUAUAUAAAGGCUGAUAAGAAAGGGGCAACUUUGCCUUGGAAUGUGGUCAAUUGCAAAAAUAAAAGAUGUCUAAUGUA
Long non-coding RNA from Motacilla alba alba, 1234 nucleotides. RefSeq lists it as uncharacterized. Lineage: Eukaryota; Metazoa; Chordata; Aves; Passeriformes; Motacillidae. The record is from RefSeq and is a predicted model, not a curated record. The transcript is spliced from 2 exons.